RNAcentral lists this ribosomal RNA (419 nucleotides) under bacterium. Its description in RNAcentral is "partial 16S ribosomal RNA". It matches the Rfam family "Bacterial small subunit ribosomal RNA", at positions 355 to 776 of the family's 1533-position model. The record is from RNAcentral.
UGGGGGAUAUUGCACAAUGGGCGAAAGCCUGAUGCAGCGACGCCGCGUGGGGGAUGAAGGCCUUCGGGUUGUAAACUUCUUUUGCUCUGAACAAGGCAUGCUAAUGGGUGUGUUGAGUGUAGGGGUUGAUUAGCGCCGGCUAACUACGUGCCAGCAGCCGCGGUAAUACGUAGGGCGCGAGCGUUGUCCGGAAUUAUUGGGCGUAAAGGGCUUGUAGGUGGCUGGUUGCGUCUGUCGUGAAAGCUCAUGGCUUAACUGUGGGUUUGCGGUGGGUACGGGCUGGCUUGAGUGCAGUAGGGGAGGCUGGAAUUCCUGGUGUAGCGGUGGAAUGCGCAGAUAUCAGGAGGAAUACCGGUGGCGAAGGCGGGCCUCUGGGCUGUUACUGACACUGAGGAGCGAAAGCAUGGGGAGCGAACAGG